Molecule: ribosomal RNA, 690 nt
Filed under: uncultured bacterium
Lineage: Bacteria
Description: bacterial SSU rRNA
Rfam family: Bacterial small subunit ribosomal RNA
Source: RNAcentral
GCCCUUGAGUUUGAUCCUGGCUCAGGAUGAACGCUGGCGGCGUGCUUAACACAUGCAAGUCGAACGAUUAACCCGCCUCCGGGCGGUUAUAGAGUGGCGAACGGGUGAGUAACACGUGACCAACCUGCCUACCACUCCGGGAUAACCCGGGGAAACCCGCGCUAAUACCGGAUACUCCGGCCGGGCCGCAUGGCUCAGUCGGGAAAGCUCCGACGGUGGUAGAUGGGGUCGCGGCCCAUUAGCUAGUCGGUGGGGUAACGGCCCACCGAGGCAACGAUGGGUAGCCGGGCUGAGAGGCUGAUCGGCCACAUUGGGACUGAGACACGGCCCAGACUCCUACGGGAGGCAGCAGUGGGGAAUUUUGCGCAAUGGGGGAAACCCUGACGCAGCAACGCCGCGUGCGGGAUGAAGGCCUUCGGGUUGUAAACCGCUUUCAGCAGGGAAGAAAUUGACGGUACCUGCAGAAGAAGCUCCGGCUAAAUACGUGCCAGCAGCCGCGGUAAUACGUAUGGAGCGAGCGUUAUCCGGAUUUAUUGGGCGUAAAGCGCGCGUAGGCGGCUUGCCAAGCGGGAUCUCAAAACUGAGGGCUCAACCCCCAGCCGGAUCCCGAACUGGCAGGCUCGAGUUCGGUAGAGGAAGAUGGAAUUCCCAGUGUAGCGGUGAAAUGCGCAGAUAUUGGGAAGAACACCG